GCCCGGCUAGCUCAGUCGGUAGAGCAUGAGACUCUUAAUCUCAGGGCGUCGGGUUCGAGGCCUACGUUGGGCG
RNAcentral lists this transfer RNA (73 nucleotides) under Perca fluviatilis (European perch). It matches the Rfam family "tRNA". From Rfam's summary of the family: Transfer RNA (tRNA) molecules are approximately 80 nucleotides in length. Their secondary structure includes four short double-helical elements and three loops (D, anti-codon, and T loops). Further hydrogen bonds mediate the characteristic L-shaped molecular structure. tRNAs have two regions of fundamental functional importance: the anti-codon, which is responsible for specific mRNA codon recognition, and the 3' end, to which the tRNAs corresponding amino acid is attached (by aminoacyl-tRNA synthetases). tRNAs cope with the degeneracy of the genetic code in two manners: having more than one tRNA (with a specific anti-codon) for a particular amino acid; and 'wobble' base-pairing, i.e. permitting non-standard base-pairing at the 3rd anti-codon position. The record is from Rfam by way of RNAcentral. Lineage: Eukaryota; Metazoa; Chordata; Actinopteri; Perciformes; Percidae.